AAGGAACUCUCAUCAAUACUUAGAAAAAUGGAAAGGGUAUAAAUUAGAAUCAUUGUGUGCAGAAUUUAACAUUAGUACUACAGAUAAUGUUCCACCCACUGAUUAUGAAAUAGAUUAUGAUGCAGACUACGAAUGUUUCGUUAGUGGAGGUUUUGAGGACAAUGAAGGAAUUAAUGUAGGAAACACCACUGUAAAAUGUAAUGUAACCUGGGUAUUAUCUUGGUUUAAGCAUGCAAAUGUAACACCAGUGUUUGCUACAAAGCCUGUUUGGUUUGAAAACCCAGAUUUUAUAGAAGAGGACUGUAAAAAUAUAACUAUGAAGAUUCCCAAACUUUUCUUUUUAGGAGAUCAAACGUAUCCAGUGGCAGACAGUUACUGGAUGUGUGGUGAUGACAUGCUACUGAACACCUUACCACUUAAGUGGGUAGGGCUCUGUGCAUUAGUACGAAUGAAGGAGUUUAUUUAAAUCUUAUUGGUCAACCAAGAGGAAUUCCAGAUGAAUUUAAAGCACAGCAUGAAAUUAAAGCAGGUUUUGAGUCUAUUUUACCUCA
Fundulus heteroclitus (mummichog) is the source of this 551-nucleotide long non-coding RNA. RefSeq lists it as uncharacterized. Lineage: Eukaryota; Metazoa; Chordata; Actinopteri; Cyprinodontiformes; Fundulidae. The transcript is spliced from 2 exons. The record is from RefSeq and is a predicted model, not a curated record.